UCUUUAAUGGAGAGUUUGAUCCUGGCUCAGGACGAACGCUGGCGGCGUGCCUAAUACAUGCAAGUC
RNAcentral lists this ribosomal RNA (66 nucleotides) under Paenibacillus peoriae. RNAcentral's name for it is "partial 16S ribosomal RNA". It matches the Rfam family "Bacterial small subunit ribosomal RNA", at positions 1 to 63 of the family's 1533-position model. The record is from RNAcentral. RNAcentral also lists the same sequence under 3 other names. Lineage: Bacteria; Bacillati; Bacillota; Bacilli; Caryophanales; Paenibacillaceae.